Molecule: long non-coding RNA, 343 nt
Organism: Erigeron canadensis
Lineage: Eukaryota; Viridiplantae; Streptophyta; Magnoliopsida; Asterales; Asteraceae
Exons: 3
Source: RefSeq, a predicted model, not a curated record
UUCUUUUUCUGUUUUCAAUGUAGAUGUGUAUGGGGGUAUUUGUGGGAAACACAAUAAGAUGAGUUGAUGUUAUUUCCGCACGAGAGGAGACUUGUUACUACUCUUGAUAGCCCUCACAUGACUGCAGUCUCAUGUUAUUUUGAUGCUCAUCCGUUGAAGCCAGGGAUGCUUACAGUGGCAACACGUGGAAGCCGGGUUCAUAUCUGGAGCACAUAGCCGCCUGGAAUGCUUGAUGGGGCGACAAAUGGAGCCUACUUUCUUAAAUAUCUCGGACAUCGUUUGGUUACAGGCGUUACAUAUAUUUAGGCUAUAUAUGUUUGUAUUAGUUUCUAUCAAGAGCUUC